This 246-nucleotide ribosomal RNA is filed under the name uncultured bacterium. RNAcentral describes it as "partial 16S ribosomal RNA". It matches the Rfam family "Bacterial small subunit ribosomal RNA", at positions 523 to 769 of the family's 1533-position model. The record is from RNAcentral.
AUACGUAGGUGGCAAGCGUUGUCCGGAAUUACUGGGUGUAAAGGGAGCGUAGGCGGGAAUGCAAGUUGAAUGUUUAAACUAUCGGCUCAACCGGUAGUCGCGUUCAAAACUGUAUUUCUUGAGUGAAGUAGAGGCAAGCGGAAUUCCUAGUGUAGCGGUGAAAUGCGUAGAUAUUAGGAGGAACAUCAGUGGCGAAGGCGGCUUGCUGGGCUUUUACUGACGCUGAGGCUCGAAAGCGUGGGUAGC